GACCUCGGAUCAGGUAGGAAUACCCGCUGAACUUAAGCAUAUCAAUAAGCGGAGGAAAAGAAACCAACAGGGAUUGCCUCAGUAACGGCGAGUGAAGCGGCAACAGCUCAAAUUUGAAAUCUGGCCUCUUUGGGGUCCGAGUUGUAAUUUGUAGAGGAUGUUUCGGGUACCGCCUCGGUCUAAAUUUCUUGGAACAGAAUGUCAAAGAGGGUGAGAAUCCCGUCUUGGACCGGCGGUAGGGCCCAUGUGAAACUCCUUCGACGAGUCGAGUUGUUUGGGAAUGCAGCUCAAAAUGGGUGGUAAAUUUCAUCUAAAGCUAAAUAUUGGCCAGAGACCGAUAGCGCACAAGUAGAGUGAUCGAAAGAUGAAAAGCACUUUGAAAAGAGAGUUAAACAGUAUGUGAAAUUGUUGAAAGGGAAGCGCUUGCAACCAG
This 433-nucleotide ribosomal RNA is filed under the name uncultured fungus. RNAcentral describes it as "eukaryotic LSU rRNA". It matches the Rfam family "Eukaryotic large subunit ribosomal RNA", at positions 1 to 432 of the family's 3401-position model. The record is from RNAcentral. Lineage: Eukaryota; Fungi.